Molecule: ribosomal RNA, 318 nt
Filed under: uncultured bacterium
Lineage: Bacteria
Description: bacterial SSU rRNA
Rfam family: Bacterial small subunit ribosomal RNA
Source: RNAcentral
AGUGAACGCUGGCGGCAGGCCUAACACAUGCAAGUCGAACGGCAGCACAGGAGAGCUUGCUCUCUGGGUGGCGAGUGGCGGACGGGUGAGGAAUACGUCGGAAUCUGCCUAUUUGUGGGGGAUAACGUAGGGAAACUUACGCUAAUACCGCAUACGACCUACGGGUGAAAGCGGAGGACCUUCGGGCUUCGCGCAGAUAGAUGAGCCGACGUCGGAUUAGCUAGUUGGCGGGGAAAGGCCCACCAAGGCGACGAUCCGUAGCUGGUCUGAGAGGAUGAUCAGCCACACUGGAACUGAGACACGGUCCAGACUCCCGAC